This 68-nucleotide transfer RNA is filed under the name Heteronitis castelnaui. Its description in RNAcentral is "tRNA-Glu". Lineage: Eukaryota; Metazoa; Arthropoda; Insecta; Coleoptera; Scarabaeidae. The record is from RNAcentral.
AUUUAUAUAGUUUAACUAAAACAUUACAUUUUCAAUGUAAAAAUAAUUAACUAAAUCAUUUAUAAAUA